GACGAACGCUGGCGGCGUGCCUAAUACAUGCAAGUAGAACGCUGAAGGAGGAGCUUGCUCUUCUGGAUGAGUUGCGAACGGGUGAGUAACGCGUAGGUAACCUGCCUGGUAGCGGGGGAUAACUAUUGGAAACGAUAGCUAAUACCGCAUAAGAGUAGAUGUUGCAUGACAUUUACUUAAAAGGUGCAAUUGCAUUACUACCAGAUGGACCUGCGUUGUAUUAGCUAGUUGGUGGGGUAACGGCUUACCAAGGCGACGAUACAUAGCCGACCUGAGAGGGGGAUCGGCCACACUGGGACUGGGACACGGCCCAGACUCCUACGGGAGGCAGCAGUAGGGGAUCUUCGGCAAUGGACGGAAGUCUGACCGAGCAACGCCGCGUGAGUGAAGAAGGUUUUCGGAUCGUAAAGCUCUGUUGUAAGAGAAGAAAGAGUGUGAGAGUGGAAAGUUCACACUGUGACGGUAUCUUACCAGAAAGGGACGGCUAACUACGUG
Molecule: ribosomal RNA, 495 nt
Filed under: uncultured bacterium
Lineage: Bacteria
Description: partial 16S ribosomal RNA
Rfam family: Bacterial small subunit ribosomal RNA
Source: RNAcentral